Molecule: non-coding RNA, 99 nt
Organism: Acanthosepion pharaonis
Lineage: Eukaryota; Metazoa; Mollusca; Cephalopoda; Sepiida; Sepiidae
Source: the annotation of a GenBank genome assembly
AUCACACUGAAACACUGGUUCACAUAUGAUCACUGAAGUUAAGCAAUGUCGAGCCUGGUCAGUAUCUAGAUAGGUGACCACUUAAGAAUAUCAGGUGCU